Molecule: ribosomal RNA, 468 nt
Filed under: uncultured bacterium
Lineage: Bacteria
Description: partial 16S ribosomal RNA
Rfam family: Bacterial small subunit ribosomal RNA
Source: RNAcentral
GACGAACGCUGGCGGCGUGCUUAACACAUGCAAGUCGAACGGAAAGGCCCUGCUUUUGUGGGGUGCUCGAGUAGCGAACGGGUGAGUAACACGUGAGUAACCUGCCCUUGACUUUGGGAUAACUUCAGGAAACUGGGGCUAAUACCGGAUAGGAGCUCCUGCUGCAUGGUGGGGGUUGGAAAGUUUCGGCGGUUGGGGAUGGACUCGCGGCUUAUCAGCUUGUUGGUGGGGUAGUGGCUUACCAAGGCUUUGACGGGUAGCCGGCCUGAGAGGGUGACCGGCCACAUUGGGACUGAGAUACGGCCCAGACUCCUACGGGAGGCAGCAGUGGGGAAUAUUGCACAAUGGGCGGAAGCCUGAUGCAGCAACGCCGCGUGCAGGAUGACGGCCUUCGGGUUGUAAACCGCUUUCGCCUGUGACGAAGCGUGAGUGACGGUAAUGGGUAAAGAAGCACCGGCUAACUACGUG